UCCUAGGCUAACUAGCACCCAGGCUAACUGA
RNAcentral lists this non-coding RNA (31 nucleotides) under Mus musculus (house mouse). Lineage: Eukaryota; Metazoa; Chordata; Mammalia; Rodentia; Muridae. The record is from RNAcentral.